RNAcentral lists this unclassified non-coding RNA (277 nucleotides) under Hevea brasiliensis (rubber tree). Lineage: Eukaryota; Viridiplantae; Streptophyta; Magnoliopsida; Malpighiales; Euphorbiaceae. The record is from RNAcentral.
GCGAUAAGGGAUAGGAAAGGAAAAUCAGAAGAGAUGAGAGAAAUCUAUUAUUUGUAUUUUUACAAUUAUAAUGAAAGGAAAGUAUAACAAGGAAUUAAUUACACCUAGAACCACAUUUUGUUUCACUUCAAAUUUGAGGGGAUAACCAGUAUCCCUUUUUCAUGAUUAUAAGAAAUUUUUAAUACGACUAUUUUAUCCAAGGUAUUCCAAACUGUCCAUUGUGACAACAAUAAAACCCUGCCACUGCUGCUUUUUGCUUGCAUCUACAUUCCAUUAU